GAACACGCCUUGAUUAUGUUAGUGUGAUAAAUGCGCAGUAAGUAGUGGCUCUAUUUUCAUUAAAAUGUGGAAUAUUAAAUUAUAUUUGCAAUAUCAUUAUCAAUGAAUGAAGGAAUAAACAAUAUGAAUAAUUGUUUUUACGAUUUUAUUACAUCAUGCAUGUAUCGUUAUCUAUCGUGUAGUUGUGACUGUCCAAUUUUAGAUCAUGACCGUUGAUAAUACUAAAUUUCGUUUAUCCAACAUAGUCGUUAAUCCUACAUAAUCAUAUUGGAUUAACAGGACUUGACUGUAUGGUACAUUUGUGAAAAUGUGAUAUUGGGGGUCACGGUUGGCCCAGUCGCCUAAGGCGCCACAACUUCCUAUUACAUCCCUUUCCUGCCUGGAACCACUGGUCAGUGAUUGAAUCCCAGAUUCAUCCUGAAUAUGUUGAAGUUCUGUCAGAACCAGAACCAUGCUCGUGUGUUUCAAUAAAGUGGCAAACAUUGGAACCUGCACAUCUUUAAGCUUUCCUCCCACAUCAAGUUGACCACACUGAUAUGAAUGUUACCCUGUUGAAAUGGCUUUAAAGCCCAUUCAUUCACCAUGCUCCCUGUGAAUGUCUAGGGAAAUAUCUUUUAAUUUUAGGAUAAACUUUAUUUCUAUAUGUAUUUGAGUUGAUAAAUAUACAUAUUUACUGUAGGGUCUACUAUCAUGCGAUUAACCAGAUAUCUCUCUUGUAAGAUCCAACUUUCUCCAUUUUUAGAUGCCACUAACUCGGAGGUCACAAGAUAGUGACUCUGUCACACCUCAUCAAGAUGCUGUUGAGCAUUGUAUGACCAGAUGGACAAAGAAGACUUCACAGUUCGCUUUAUUAGCCAAUAUAAAGGACAAGGCGUGUUUACAACAAAACACUUCCAGAGGGGUGACUUUCUGUUGGAGUACAUAGGGCAACCCUUGUCUGCUGUUGAGGGGGAAGAGCACUUGACUUGGCCUGAUGUGGGCAGUUUCUUAUUUUUUGUGAACAUGAAUUUGUGUAUUGAUGCAACUGACAGCAGAUGCUAUGGUAAAUUCGUGAAUGACAGCAUGACAAAAAGGAGAGCCAAUGCCUUUAUGAAGCCCCUUUACCUUCGAGACAAAACACAUUUGUGUUUGUUUGCCAAGAGGGAUAUUUCACCAAACGAAGAAGUCACAUACUAUUAUGGACCCACAGAUGAACAGAUGUACUGGAGAUUGAACCCGCCGACAGACCUCCUGUUAAAAGACCACCGAUCAGUCCAGUUCAUACGUCCAUCGGUACUUCAGUAGAAACCCCCGACAGACCUCCUGUUGAAAGACCACCGAUCAGUCCAGUUCAUACGUCCAUCAGUACUUCAGUAGAAACCCCCGACAGACCUCCAGUUGAAAGACCACCAAUCAGUCCAGUUCAUACGUCCAUCAGUACUUCAGGAGAGACCCCCGACAGACCUCCUGUUGAAAGACCACCGAUCAGUCCAGUUCAUACGUCCAUCAGUACUUCAGGAGAGACCCCCGACAGACCUCCUGUUGAAAGACCACCGAUCAGUCCAGUUCAUACGUCCAUCAGUACUUCAGGAGAGACCCCCGACAGACCUCCUGUUGAAAGACCACCGAUCAGUCCAGUUCAUACGUCCAUCAGUACUUCAGGAGAGACCCCCGACAGACCUCCUGUUGAAAGACCACCGAUCAGUCCAGUUCAUACGUCCAUCAGUACUUCAGGAGAGACCCCCGACAGACCUCCAGUUGAAAGACCACCGAUCAGUCCAGUUCAUACGUCCAUCAGUACUUCAGUAGAAACCCCCGACAGACCUCCAGUUGAAAGACCACCAAUCAGUCCAGUUCAUACCUCUAUCGGUACGUCAGGAGAGACCCCCGACAGACCUCCUGUUAAAAGACCGCCGAUCAGUCCAAUUCAUCGGUACUUCAGUAGAAACCCCCGACAGAUCUCCAGCUGAAAGACCACCAAUCAGUCCAGUUCAUACCUCUAUCGGUACUUCUAUAUGCUGUUCUGCAUCACUCAACCUGCUUCAAGACGCAGCCAGACCAGGUCCUAUUGACACACGUACUGGUACAACAUGUGAAACAAGAAACGAGAAACGAGUCUAUCAAGCUGUUAGGCAUCAAAAAUGGUCAUAAGAAGAGAGAGAAGCUAUUGAAAGACAAUUGGGAAAAUUCUACUAUUUGAAAUCACUGCCAGGAAAACUUAACUGUGAAAUGGCAAGUCAAAACGAACCUGUUCUCCUGCAACGGCCUUGGAAGCAGAUUAAGUAUUACAUAAAUAAUCACAAGUAAAUGUGUCAAACUGUUUGUCCCUGACAGUUUACAUUGUAAUUAUGAAGCUCACUUUGACUCACAAAAAGGUCUUUAGCAACAGUAAUGUCAUUAUCAUUGUCUGCUUUGUGAGGUUACCGUCCUUACUUUUAGACAUCGAAGUGAGCUUGGGUUUUGUUAUGGCCCUUUGUCCGUCCAUCCGUCUGUAAACUGUUCACUAAACUUCUUCGCACUAACUACUGGGUAUAUGUUGCCGGGCAACAAUGAGUGUGGUUUUAAUUGUCUUCUCAUGUUGCAGUACAUUGUAAACUCAAUUUUCAUUGGCCAAGUUAUGUGUAACCACCAACCAAUAAAUCAUUUACAAUUACUGAAUUGUAAACAGGGGAGUACUGUUUUACAGCAAUAAAACUAUGUGUGUUCAGGUUAUGAGCAAACCCGGGCUGUUUUUGAUGAUAUUUAUUUAUUAUUUAUAUAGCUUGGACCAAAGAGUUACUUUUACCAAAUUUUAACGAAAUGUUAUAGUUAUAUUUGGGAUAUUACUUUCUCGUUAAAGGACAUAUUAUAUGACUUCUUCUGGGGUUGCAUCAAACCUGGGGAUCACACCCACAGUACUCAAUGGCAGCGAUCUGUACCACUUUGCCACGUUAAGAAGCAAGUUCAACAACUGGUAGUCUGGAACACUUAAACCAGUCUUAUAGAUGUAAUUAGCACUGAUGGGGCACGACCCCUAAACAAGUAUUAGAUCCGGUACCUUAAUCAGAAAUUGUUUUUCCCUAUUACAACAUAUAUGCUAGAAUCUCUACAGAUGUUUAUAAUAAAGUGGAAGCUUUCAAGAAAAGGACCUGGCGAGUUAGACAGGGGAUAUAGAAACAUGUUCAUUUGUCUGUCAAGUUGCUAUUGCUUUCACAGAAAUGUAAAUUUUGCAAUUCUGUAACUCUGUGCUGAAUUUGUCUGGGGCUGAACUACUGUGUGUAUCACUAUGAUCAUUUGGGUACAUGUUCUCGGUGUAACUAGCUACAGUAAAGUAGGGGGAGGUCGGGUACAUGUUCUCGGUGUAACUAGCUACAGUAAAGUAGGGGGGAGGUCCGGUACAUGUUCUCGGUGUAACUAGCUACAGUAAAGUAGGGGGAGGUCGGGUAUAUGUUCUCGGUGUAACUAGCUACAGUAAAGUAGGGGGAGGUCCGGUACAUGUUCUCGGUGUAACUAGCUACAGUAAAGUAGGGGGGAGGUCCGGUACAUGUUCUCGGUGUAAAUAGCUACAGUAAAGUAGGGGGGAGGUCCGGUACAUGUUCUCGGUGUAACUAGCUACAGUAAAGUAGGGGGAGGUCGGGUACAUGUUCUCGGUGUAACUAGCUACAGUAAAGUAGGGGGAGGUCGGGUACAUGUUCUCGGUGUAACUAGCUACAGUAAAGUAGGGGGGAGGUCCGGUACAUGUUCUCGGUGUAACUAGCUACAGUAAAGUAGGGGGCGGUCGGGUAGCCUAGUGGUUUAAGCGUUUGCUCGUCAUGCCAAAGACCCGGGUUCGAUUCCCGACAUGGGUAAAAUGUGUGAAGCCCAUUUCUGGUGUCCCCCGCUGUGAUAUUGCUGGAAUAUUGCUAAACGCGGUGUAAAACCGUAUUCACUCACUCGCUCACUACAGUAAAGUAGGGUUUUUGAUUUGAAAAAUUCAAAAUGUCCACUAUGGCAACAGUCAUAAAUAUGAAGUAUAGCCUGCAAACUCCAAAACUACUGCAUAUAUUAUGUUUUUUCAUAUUUUAGGAAUAUGUUCAUGAUCAAACUUCUGGUACAUGUAUUUUCUUUAAAAACAAUCAUAACAGAUUACGAAUAAUUGAUCAUGUUAAAAGGUCAAAGGAUAUUUCACUUCAGAUUCAGAUGUGAUUUUUGUCAGUCAUUAAUAAAUUCAAUAAAAUACAACAUAAAACAUACUGACUUGUUUAUUAAAGUUUGCGUUUCCUUCUACGAAAGAUCUUCGUAGCUUGUUUCACAAUAUUGUUGACUUCUGCGUGUAGAUUCAACAGCAUCAGGUUGUUUAUCCGUUGUUGGGAAAGACGAUUGCGACUGGCAGAGUGUAUCCUGUUUUGCAAACUGAAUCCACGUUCAGCAUCAACGCUGCUAACUGGGAUAGCAAGUGCU
Haliotis rufescens (red abalone) is the source of this 4398-nucleotide long non-coding RNA. RefSeq lists it as uncharacterized. The transcript is spliced from 5 exons. The record is from RefSeq and is a predicted model, not a curated record. Lineage: Eukaryota; Metazoa; Mollusca; Gastropoda; Lepetellida; Haliotidae.